RNAcentral lists this ribosomal RNA (681 nucleotides) under Pertusaria pertusa. Its description in RNAcentral is "mitochondrial SSU rRNA". It matches the Rfam family "Bacterial small subunit ribosomal RNA", at positions 429 to 1198 of the family's 1533-position model. Lineage: Eukaryota; Fungi; Ascomycota; Lecanoromycetes; Pertusariales; Pertusariaceae. The record is from RNAcentral.
UCGACUCUGUCGAAUAAAAUUCUAGUUAAGUUAUGAUAAUGACAUUUCUUAACUAUGUGUCUUGACCAAAUCACGUGCCAGCAGUCGCGGUAAUACGUGGAAGACUAGUGUUAUUCAUCUUUAACAGGUUUAAAGGGUACCUAGACGGCAAAUCAAGCCCCAAGGGGACUAAUUUACUAGAGUUUAAUAAGAGAGGGGGAGUACUGAUGAGUGGAGGGAUGAAAUAUUAUGAUACCAUUAGGAACAGACAAAGGCGAAAGCGACCUUUUACAUAAAACUGACGUUGAGGGACGAAGGCUUUAGUCGUGAACAGGAUUAGAUACCCAAGUAAUUAAAGCAGACAAUGAUGAAUGUCAUAGAUUAGUAAUUUUAUUAAUCUAUAAAUGAAAGUGUAAGCAUUCCACCUCAAGAGUAAUGUGGCAACGCAGAAACUGAAAUCAUUAGACCGUUUCUGAAACCAGUAGUGAAGUAUGUUGUUUAAUUAGAUAAUCCGCAAAAGACCUCACCACAAUUUGUAUAUUAUUUUUAUAAUAAUACAAGCGUUGCACGGCUGUCUUCAGUUAAUGUCGUGAGAUUAGGUUAGUUCCAUUAAAUUAACGUAAACCCUUGCUUUAUUUAUAUUAUAAAGUAGAUCACCGCUAUAUUGGAUGUGAUAAUAGGGACUAAGACAAGUCAUCAUGG